RNAcentral lists this long non-coding RNA (296 nucleotides) under Drosophila guanche. The record is from RNAcentral. Lineage: Eukaryota; Metazoa; Arthropoda; Insecta; Diptera; Drosophilidae.
AAAGUGACGCACAAAAGGAAAGACAGAAAGAACUGAACAGAACAUGCUGAGCGAUAAGCGAACAAGCAGGCGUGUGAUGGAGAGGGACACACACUGCGCCUCCCUCUCUCGAAUAAGCAUAAAACGAAAACGACACACACACACACACACACAACAGUGUCAAUGUUUGGGCAACUGGUCAAAGGAGUGGCACCAACUGCGGCGGUGACGUCGCUCCCAGCCACAGCCCGACUUGGCAGCACCCUCUCUCUUUAUCACCAUCUCGCUCUAUGCUUGUCCGCAGCCACUUUUGGGUU